The sequence is a transfer RNA, 103 nucleotides long. It matches the Rfam family "tRNA". Rfam says of the family: Transfer RNA (tRNA) molecules are approximately 80 nucleotides in length. The record is from Rfam.
GGGGCGGUGGCGUAGUUGGGAGCGCGUCAGACUGAAGCUAUAACUUCAUUCAAGCAACUUGGUUGUGAUCUGAAGGUCACCGGUUCGAUCCCGGUUCACCCCA